CUGGUGGGCCGCAGCAGGUGCAGAUCUUGGUGGUAAUAGCAAAUAUUCAAAUGAGAACUUUGCUGGCCGAAGUGGAGAAGGGUUCCCUGUG
Molecule: microRNA precursor, 91 nt
Filed under: Echinops telfairi (small Madagascar hedgehog)
Lineage: Eukaryota; Metazoa; Chordata; Mammalia; Afrosoricida; Tenrecidae
Description: miRNA (ENSETEG00000021982.1)
Rfam family: Eukaryotic large subunit ribosomal RNA
Source: RNAcentral